AUGAUGGACUAUAGGACAGGACUGCUGCUUUUAACUGUCUGCUGGGCAGGUGUUGAUGGUCAGACUCAGGCAGAAUCUGAACCAGUGGUUAAAAGGCCUGGAGAAUCUCACAGAUUGACCUGUACAGCCUCUGGAUUCACAUUCAGUGACUACUAUAUGCACUGGAUCAGACAGGCUCCUGGAAAAAGACUGGAGUGGGUUGCCUGGAUUAGCACUGGUGGUAGCAGCAAACUCUACUCUCAGUCAGUCCAAGGCCGGUUUACCAUCUCCAGAGACAACAGCAGACAGCAGGUGUAUCUGCAGAUGAACAGUCUGAAGACUGAAGAUUCUGCUGUUUAUUAUUGUGCUCGAGACCCACAGUGACUGGAGUUGGUGGAGCAGCUGCACAAAAUCCUA
Scatophagus argus is the source of this 396-nucleotide non-coding RNA. The record is from the annotation of a RefSeq genome assembly. NCBI's taxonomy places the organism in Eukaryota, Metazoa, Chordata, Actinopteri, Scatophagidae.